This 387-nucleotide ribosomal RNA is filed under the name uncultured bacterium. RNAcentral describes it as "bacterial SSU rRNA". It matches the Rfam family "Bacterial small subunit ribosomal RNA", at positions 30 to 419 of the family's 1533-position model. The record is from RNAcentral.
AUUGAACGCUGGCGGCAUGCCUUACACAUGCAAGUCGAACGGCAGCGGACCUUCGGGUGCCGGCGAGUGGCGAACGGGUGAGUAAUAUAUCGGAACGUACCUUUCAGUGGGGGAUAACGUAGCGAAAGUUACGCUAAUACCGCAUAUUCUGUGAGCAGGAAAGCAGGGGAUCGCAAGACCUUGCGCUGAUUGAGCGGCCGAUAUCAGAUUAGCUAGUUGGUGAGGUAAAGGCUCACCAAGGCGACGAUCUGUAGCGGGUCUGAGAGGAUGAUCCGCCACACUGGAACUGAGACACGGUCCGGACUCCUACGGGAGGCAGCAGUGGGGAAUUUUGGACAAUGGGCGCAAGCCUGAUCCAGCCAUGCCGCGUGAGUGAAGAAGGCCUUC